RNAcentral lists this small RNA (126 nucleotides) under Halanaerobium sp. MSAO_Bac5. RNAcentral's name for it is "partial 6S RNA". It matches the Rfam family "6S / SsrS RNA", at positions 53 to 187 of the family's 187-position model. Rfam says of the family: E. coli 6S RNA was the first non coding RNA to be sequenced, but its function was unknown until recently. The record is from RNAcentral. Lineage: Bacteria; Bacillati; Bacillota; Clostridia; Halanaerobiales; Halanaerobiaceae.
CACAUAGGGAGCCUGGUCUCUACCUGCGGCGUAUAAGCCUUAGAUGGACAUACAAACUAGGUAGGAGGGCACCCACUUGGCAGACAGGGAUCAAAAUUAAUAAUCAACCGGCAUGGCGGAUUAUUU